AUCUUUUUUAUUAAUAAGAUCUUUUAAAAAAAAUUAUGCUGUUAUCCCUAAGGUAAUUAAUUUUAGUAACUUAAAUUUUAAGAUAAUUUAAUCAAUAAUUAAUGUUUUUUUAAAAAAAAUUUUUUAAAUUUUUUAAUUACCCCAAUUAAAUUUAUUUUUUAAAUUUAAAUUAAAUAAAUUAAAAAUUUAAUUAAAAAAAUAAAUAAAAUUCUAUAGGGUCUUAUCGUCUUUUAAAUUUAUUUAAGUUUUUUAACUUAAAUAAAAAUUUUAAUUUUUAUUUAAUGGAGACAGGGUAUAUUUCAUCUAAUCAUUCAUUCUAGUUUUUAAUUAAAAAACAAAUUAUUAUGCUACCUUUGUACAGUUAUAAAUACUGCAGCCAUUUAAAUAUUUC
This 391-nucleotide ribosomal RNA is filed under the name Colastes incertus. Its description in RNAcentral is "partial 16S ribosomal RNA". Lineage: Eukaryota; Metazoa; Arthropoda; Insecta; Hymenoptera; Braconidae. The record is from RNAcentral.